AAACUUCAAAUACCACCCUAUAGUUUCGCAACUUUUCACUUUAGUACCCUGCGAUUUAAAGUGUGUCAAUUUAAUACCCUGUGGUUUCACACUUUCUCACUUUAGUAUCCUGUGGUUUAAAGUGCAUCAAUUUAGUACUCUGUGCUUUUAUUUUUCUCUUUUUAUUGGCUCCUCUGUUAAUAUUUCGUUAAAUUAUAUACAAAAAACUUCAGAUACCCUAUCUAAAUUUAUCUAAUAUUUACUUUAAUACCCUUUAGUUUUAACUUUGUCAAUGAUUUUUUUUCCUCCAUUAAUAUUUGUUAAAUUAUACACAAAAAACUUCAGAUACUCUACCUAAGUUUAUUAAAAAUUCACUUUAGUAUCCUUUAAUUUUAACUUUGUCACUGAUUUAAUGAAAAAAAUUAGUGAAAUGGAUAAUAAAAAGAGAAAAAUAAAACUACAGGGUACUAACUUGAUACACUUUAAACCAUAGGGUAGUAAAGUAAAAAAGUGUGAAACUACAGGGGCUAACUUAAUACACUUUAAACCACAGGGUAGUAAAAUGAGAAAGUGUAAUUUGUUGCUAUGUUUUACAAGAACUUUCAGAGUUAUUACAACCAAAUCUUAUAAUCUAAUUUAGUUGACUUAAUAUUAAUAUAUUGCCUGUAUAGAGGUGAUGUAGCAAGGUUGUGAUUAAUGAUGUGUCCAUAAUUAAGAUGUUGUAUCGCCCUUACAUCAAUAAUGUAUUAAAAUUAAAUUAAAUUAUGAGACUUGAUUAUAAUAAUUUUAAAAAUUCGAGCUAGAAAUUAACAAAUUAAAGUUUGAGAACUAAAGUGUAAUGCGCCUUUUAGCUUGAGUGCUGAACUUGCAAUUUACCCUAAGUGAUAUGGCAAGGUUUGCUACAAUUGGUUGAUUCAUUUUUUACCGGCUAUAUCUAGUGCAGUUGGCUACAAAUUUAAUGGCUAAUAUUCAAGGUUCCAACUUUGAAGCCUAGUACAUUUCUAACUGACUUCAUUUCUUAAAAAAAAAUGAACAGUGUUAGAUUUGUCUCGAAUCUGGAACCCUAAGGUUUUUUAUUCUUUUUUUUAUUUUGAUUAUCUUAUUAAGUUAAGUUUAAACUAUGUCUAAUUUUAAUUAAAAGUAUUUCUGGUCUCUGUGGAUUUGUAUCCCUAAUUGUAUUAAGAUUUAGUCACUAUUAUGAAUAUACAUUUUAUCCCGUAAAUUUGGUGCAGCAAACGAGAAUGUGUAUGGGAUAUAUUUUGGAACUAGGAUUAUGUGAAAGAGACAUAUUUUGUAUUCUAAUUUGAUCAUAAUGAAAGUCUCAGCUCAGUCUACGCCCGUGAACGAAUGCCAGUGGCCGAACUAUGUAAAUAUUUUUGUACUUUAUUAAUUUUUUUCUCAAUUCUAUUUUGGCAAUUUCGUCCCCGACAAGCUAAAUUUUUUUAUUUUUAUCAU
This 1434-nucleotide long non-coding RNA is filed under the name Ananas comosus (pineapple). RNAcentral's name for it is "long non-coding RNA (ACOM_LNC012972)". The record is from RNAcentral. Lineage: Eukaryota; Viridiplantae; Streptophyta; Magnoliopsida; Poales; Bromeliaceae.